Molecule: ribosomal RNA, 864 nt
Filed under: Triticum aestivum (bread wheat)
Lineage: Eukaryota; Viridiplantae; Streptophyta; Magnoliopsida; Poales; Poaceae
Description: partial small subunit ribosomal RNA
Source: RNAcentral
AUGCUGCUGCGGAGCGCGUCCUCGCCGCUGCUCAACGCGGCGCGCGUGCCGGCGGCCGCGGCGGUGGAGCAUGUACUGGGCCACGGGCACCUCGCGGUGGCGUCGCCGGCGGGGCAUCACGGGCCGAGGCAGCAGGGGGCGCUGUGCCGCGCAUUGUCCGAGGCCGAUCUGCUGGCGCCGGUGCAGCUCCCGGCCGCCUCCGCCUUCCUCGAGGAGUUGGACGAGGAGGAGGCGCAGCAGGAGGACGAGGACGUGGUCGCGGUCGGGGUGGCGGCCGUGCCGCUGCGCCGGCUGCUGACGAGCACGGGGCUGGACGCCGCGGGGGAGGAACAGGAGGCCGGCGCCGGCGGAGCCCUGGCGCUCCUCGAGGGCGUCGGGGGAGGCGGCGGGCGCGGGAGGGUGUGCGGCGGCUGGCAGGGCGGCCGCGGAGGAGACGGGGACGGCGACGGCGACGGAGGUGACCGCGGCGCCACCGACGCGCACUACCGGCGGAUGAUCAGGGCCAACCCGGGCAACUCGCUGCCGCUGGGGAACUACGCCAGGUUCCUCAAGGAGGUGCAGGGGGACGCGGCGAGGGCGCAGGAGUACUGCGAGCGCGCCAUCGUCGCCAACCCCGGCGACGGCGACGCCCUGGCGAUGUACGCGGGCCUCGUCUGGGAGACCAGCCGCGACGCUGAGCGCGCCGACGCUUACUACAGCCGCGCCGUCCAGGCCGCGCCCGACGACUGCUAUGUCCUGGGAUCCUACGCCGGGUUCCUGUGGGACGCCGAGGAGGAAGACGGUCUCAACGACGGGCAGCCUCCGGCGGGGUCGCCGCCGUUCUAUGGGGCAGCGCAGCCAUCCUCCAUCAGAGCGGCUUCUUAG